RNAcentral lists this ribosomal RNA (255 nucleotides) under uncultured bacterium. RNAcentral's name for it is "partial 16S ribosomal RNA". It matches the Rfam family "Bacterial small subunit ribosomal RNA", at positions 524 to 776 of the family's 1533-position model. The record is from RNAcentral.
UACGUAGGGUGCAAGCGUUGUCCGGAAUUAUUGGGCGUAAAGAGCUCGUAGGCGGUCUGUCGCGUCGGCUGUGAAAACUCGGGGCUCAACUCCGAGCUUGCAGUCGAUACGGGCAGGCUAGAGUGCGGCAGGGGAGACUGGAAUUCCUGGUAGUAGCGGUGAAAUGCGUAGAUAUCGAGAGGAACACCUGCGGCGAAGGCGGGUUGCUGGGCUGACACGUGACGCUGAUGCGCGAAAGCUAGGGGAGCGAACGGG